CCGCUUCUGGUACACAGUCUUUACUCCUACCGGGGCCAAAAUGACAAUCUUCACACACCUGCCCUCCUGUGUCCCUACUGCACAGAGAAGAAUGCUUUCCUCCUGAGGAGGAAGAGUUGGUACUUUCCUGGAGUCUGCUGGGGAAACUUAAAUAGGGGAAACACCCGUGGAACUGGGGUAAGGGAAUGCAUGGGGCAAAGAGCUGUGGCUUUUUGGCAUUUCAAAUCUGUUUUGAUCUGCCUUCCUCUUUUUGUUAGGGAUUUCUUGGUUGUAAGAAGCAGAAACAUAAAUAGCAAAACCAAAAAAUUUGAGAAAUGUUCAGUUGACACAUACUGACUGCAUAUACAGUUCUGCUUCAUAAAGGAUUGGGACCACAAUUCUGAGGUGCUGUAUUACUGUGGUCAUCAUGGUGUCUUGU
RNAcentral lists this long non-coding RNA (418 nucleotides) under Microcebus murinus (gray mouse lemur). Its description in RNAcentral is "lncRNA (ENSMICG00000048460.1)". The record is from RNAcentral. Lineage: Eukaryota; Metazoa; Chordata; Mammalia; Primates; Cheirogaleidae.